UACGUAGGGGGCAAGCGUUGUCCGGAUUUAUUGGGCAUAAAGAGCGUGUAGGCGGCUAGGUAGGUCCGUUGUGAAAACUCGAGGCUCAACCUCGAGCUGUCGGUGGAAACUGUCUGACUAGAGUCCGGAAGAGGAGAGUGGAAUUCCUGGUGUAGCGGUGAAAUGCGCAGAUAUCAGGAGGAACACCGGUGGCGAAGGCGGGUCUCUGGGCCGAUACUGACGCUGAGGAGCGAAAGCGUGGGGAGCGAACAGG
This 253-nucleotide ribosomal RNA is filed under the name uncultured bacterium. RNAcentral describes it as "partial 16S ribosomal RNA". It matches the Rfam family "Bacterial small subunit ribosomal RNA", at positions 524 to 776 of the family's 1533-position model. The record is from RNAcentral.